Meriones unguiculatus (Mongolian gerbil) is the source of this 481-nucleotide long non-coding RNA. RefSeq lists it as uncharacterized. The record is from RefSeq and is a predicted model, not a curated record. Lineage: Eukaryota; Metazoa; Chordata; Mammalia; Rodentia; Muridae. The transcript is spliced from 3 exons.
AUCAAGAAACAGAACAACAGCAUACGGUCACAUUAAACCUUCUGCAGAUACAGAUGUCCUCUGUCCCAGGCACAGUGGUGCGCACCUGUAAUCCCAGCACUCAGGGAGGCAAGACAUGCAGAUCUCUGUGAGUUCAAGGCCAGCCUGGUCUACAAAGUGAGUCCAGGACAGCCAAGGCUACACAGAGAAACCCUGUCUGGAAAAACCAAAAAGAGCUGUCCUCUGGGAGUGCACACAAGGCUCACCAUUGGCUGACUUCACCUCUGUGCCAUUAGCUGGAUGUAAGCAUCAGCGGUUCUAUCUGGGAGUCUGAAGCCAAAUUAUUACAUGCUAUAAGGCUGCCAAGUAUGCAGAUCAACUCUUGGGGGAGGACACAAUGGCAUAUUUACACCCAGAGGACCAGUCUAGGCCUAUUUGGGUCCCUGCUAGAAAUGUCUGACACCACCUCCCAACUGAAAAGAUGCCCCACCUCUUGCUGGUA